This 246-nucleotide ribosomal RNA is filed under the name uncultured Actinomycetales bacterium. RNAcentral describes it as "partial 16S ribosomal RNA". It matches the Rfam family "Bacterial small subunit ribosomal RNA", at positions 86 to 334 of the family's 1533-position model. Lineage: Bacteria; Bacillati; Actinomycetota; Actinomycetes; Actinomycetales. The record is from RNAcentral.
AGUACUCGAGUGGCGAACGGGUGAGUAACACGUGGGUAAUCCGCCCUGCACUCUGGGAUAAGCCUGGGAAACUGGGUCUAAUACUGGAUAUGACCUUUCUCCUUAUGGGGUUUGGUGGAAAGUUUUUCGGUGUAGGAUGAGCCCGCGGCCUAUCAGCUUGUUGGUGGGGUGAUGGCCUACCAAGGCGACGACGGGUAGCCGGCCUGAGAGGGUGACCGGCCACAUUGGGACUGAGAUACGGCCCAG